Molecule: long non-coding RNA, 325 nt
Filed under: Elaeis guineensis (African oil palm)
Lineage: Eukaryota; Viridiplantae; Streptophyta; Magnoliopsida; Arecales; Arecaceae
Description: long non-coding RNA (EGUI_LNC018354)
Source: RNAcentral
UAUAAUUUGUUUAUCCUUGACUCACUAAUAUGACCAAGACGGCAAUGCCAGAGAUAUGUGAUAUUCAUAUUUUUUUUUCUAUUUUCUUUCAAUAAUAAAAAUAUUUUUAUUGAGUGUAAAAAUUAAAAGAUUAUUAUCAACAUAACCAUUGCCAUAAAAUUAUUAAAAAAGAAAAUGAAGCAUCUAUUUUCCAUUAGUCUUAUUUCAUAACCUUGUUUUAAUAACAAAUAUAUAGAAAUAAUAUUUCUAAUGACCUUUGGCAUGUAAUAACAGUCUUUCAAUUCUAAAAUUUUAUUUGAAGAUAAAUCAAGCAUACAGGAUCCCA